AAAUGUCAUUUCUUCUUGUGUCGGCCCCUCAGUGUGUGUUGAGUGGUGGGUUUGGGCACCGGGCAUGGAUGGCCUUGGCACUCCAGCGGCCGCGACUGUGGUGGCUUAAGUAGCGGUCUUUACACGGAGCUUUGGAUUGUGGGGUUUGCGCGUGUGGAUCGGGGGAAAUGUCCACUUUGUCUGGAGGAGACUACGAGGGGGACCAUGCGUGAGAGGAACCACCCAGAUGUCCAGAUUGUGCCACUACAACAACGGCUUCCACGCCUCACAUGACCAACCCAGAAAAGAAGAACCACUGCUGAAUCUGUCAACCCCACAGACAGAGUGGGCUGAGAACUGAUGAAAGCCAAAGCAGAGGGUCACCUUGGUUUCAACAAACUAAACAGCUGUUUGACCCAAGUCCAGCUAUGUGACCGCUACCAGUGAAUUUGGAUCGUCCAGUGGAGAUGAUGAUUUACAGAUAGCCCCUUGUCUCUUCUCUUUACUGGCCAUCAUUACAUCCAGCACUGGGAGAAAAGGCACUGCGAUCAAGAAAAAAAAAGGACCUCAAAGGAAAUGUGAAAAAGCUAAAGUUUGCUUUACCAUGUGAUUAUAAAGCCCUUCAAACUCCUCAGUGACAUGAUCCCUGCAUCCCAUUGCCUUUGUUUGGUGUUUGAUUUUAGGGCAUCAGGUAUAUGCACAGACAAACCGUGCCUUGCAUAAGUAUUGAUACCCUUUGUAUAGUUGUAAAGCAGAUGUGAAAGGAUAAUUUGGCUUUUAAGUAGAGUUUCUAGUUUAGACACAUGUUGCAUGCAUUUAUCCAUUCCAUUUAGUCAGACAUGUAUCCUCUAUAAAAUCCAUUGUAAAAAGUGUGUCACCAACCUGCUUAUGUAGAUAUAUUUUACUACAGUGUAAUGUGAUCUUAACAAAAAGAAAUGGUGUUUGGUAAAGGCCCUGGAGGGACUAACAGCUCCAUAGAGAAAUAUGCUGCAGGCAUCCAGGGGAAAAGUGCUUUGAAAUAGAAAAAUUGUGGCACAAGUGUGAUUCUACCAAGAACUUGUCUGACCUGAACUAGUACACUAUGUCAGGAGCUGUUCAUCUCUAAAGGAGAUGGAGUGGAUUGAAUCUAUAACGUUUAUCGCUAAACACAUAAAGUAAAUCCAGAUUAUAGGAUUAAAUUCAGAAUUCACAAAAUUCAGUGAUUAAAUUUUUUUUUUUGUAAGUCAGUGGCGUUCUUCUGUACAUAUUUUUCUGUGUUAAUGGAAUUCAAAACGCAAACCCCAAGAGACGAGCAUCAUGCCUUGGGGAAGGUUUUUUUUUUCACUUGGGACAAUGAACUUGCCAGAGUCAAAGGGAAGAUAAAUACAUUCAAAUACUAACGGAACACCUUUUGGAGGGUGCAAAAGGACCUGAACUAAAACAGAGCUUUACCUUAUAGCAGAUCGAUGGCAAAGCUAUCUAAAAGCUUUAACUGAAUAGUUCAGAUCAAAGUAUAUCUUUAUUCACAGCCACAGUAAGGAAAUCUAAUCUUCCAAGAUGCUCUGCAGUCUUACAGAUCAUGGUUCUUUUUGUAAAGAAGAAUGGGGAAGAAAUGCCAAGAUGUGCAAAGUUUUGAAGACCUCCUAUGAAAGAAUUGAAACAAAUGCAGGAACAGUUGGAUUUUCAUACCUAUAUAUGUUAAAAUCAAAUACAAAACAAAAAAUAAUUCCUUCCACUUCCCUAUCACCCUGUUUUUUUGUUGAGCUGUUAAAUAAAUCUGGUUUGAAAACACUCGCAGUAGUAUUUCUCAAGGGACAGAGCUAAAGGAAAUUCAUUGGGUGGGAAUACUUUUGCAAGGCUCUAUACACACAAAAAUUGGAUUACCUACAACAGCUCUCUUUCUCUUGACAACAGCCUCACCGUCUUAAUACUCUUAUACCAUAAGCUGGCAUGUUUGCCAAGAAUCUGCUGAAUUGUCCGAUUAGCAGAAUUUGCCUCAAACUUUUCCAAAAUAUUCCUAAUUGCUCUGUAGCCAGAGAAAAUGUAACUUAAACAGAGUUAUCGUUUGUUAAAGGGAAUAAAUCAAAGCUUUAUUAUUUGUUUUUUCUUUGACCAUGACCUUCAGUUGCUUUGGGAAAGAUGGAGAAUUUUUAAUUUGAAAACAAACCUCUUGAUGGCCUAGAUUUCAUUGGGACUAAAGACAGAAAAUAUUGUUUGUCAUCAAGGUGACUAGUUAUGUUCUUAUUAACAUCUUUGUUGUGUGUGUGUGUGUUUGAGUGAGCAUGUAAUAGAAUUUGGUUUGAACCUAGUGCAAGUUUUUUUUUUUUUUUUUUUUGCAGCUGUUGACAUGAUUUGUUUUAAGUAGAAAAAAGGGCACAAAUGAAAUAGACUGUCAAACUCCUCUUCCUGCCUCCAAAUAAUAAUAAAAAAAUGUGCCUUUGAAUUCAGAAGUAAAUUAACACCUCAAAGUUAAAAGUUGCAGAAUAAACUUUCAGCGUUUUAAAAUAUGUAUUAAUUCCAAGGCCUAAAUGUGCCCUCAAUUAUUUUACCAUUGCCCCUUAAGUAAUUGAUUUUGGGCAGAGAAAAGCAGGAGGUGGAGGGGUGAUCUGUGUUGUUAUGAAAAAGACUACAAAACUAAUAAAUGGAAAAAAUA
Long non-coding RNA from Cyprinodon variegatus (sheepshead minnow), 2611 nucleotides. RefSeq lists it as uncharacterized. The transcript is spliced from 3 exons. Lineage: Eukaryota; Metazoa; Chordata; Actinopteri; Cyprinodontiformes; Cyprinodontidae. The record is from RefSeq and is a predicted model, not a curated record.